This 571-nucleotide ribosomal RNA is filed under the name fungal sp. TC-2-S1-2-1. RNAcentral describes it as "eukaryotic LSU rRNA". The stretch from base 196 to 349 matches the Rfam family "5.8S ribosomal RNA". Lineage: Eukaryota; Fungi. The record is from RNAcentral.
UCCGUAGGUGAACCUGCGGAGGGAUCAUUACACAAAUAUGAAGGCGGGCUGGAACCUCUCGGGGUUACAGCCUUGCUGAAUUAUUCACCCUUGUCUUUUGCGUACUUCUUGUUUCCUUGGUGGGUUCGCCCACCACUAGGACAAACAUAAACCUUUUGUAAUUGCAAUCAGCGUCAGUAACAAAUUAAUAAUUACAACUUUCAACAACGGAUCUCUUGGUUCUGGCAUCGAUGAAGAACGCAGCGAAAUGCGAUAAGUAGUGUGAAUUGCAGAAUUCAGUGAAUCAUCGAAUCUUUGAACGCACAUUGCGCCCUUUGGUAUUCCAAAGGGCAUGCCUGUUCGAGCGUCAUUUGUACCCUCAAGCUUUGCUUGGUGUUGGGCGUCUUGUCUCUAGCUUUGCUGGAGACUCGCCUUAAAGUAAUUGGCAGCCGGCCUACUGGUUUCGGAGCGCAGCACAAGUCGCACUCUCUAUCAGCAAAGGUCUAGCAUCCAUUAAGCCUUUUUUUCAACUUUUGACCUCGGAUCAGGUAGGGAUACCCGCUGAACUUAAGCAUAUCAAUAAGACGGAGGA